RNAcentral lists this ribosomal RNA (434 nucleotides) under uncultured bacterium. RNAcentral's name for it is "partial 16S ribosomal RNA". It matches the Rfam family "Bacterial small subunit ribosomal RNA", at positions 29 to 507 of the family's 1533-position model. The record is from RNAcentral.
AGCGAACGCUGGCGGUAGGCCUAACACAUGCAAGUCGAACGACCCUUCCGUGGUUAGUGGCGGACGGGUGAGUAACACGUGGGAACGUGCCUUUAGGCUCGGAAUUAUUCAGUGUAACUUGGGCUAACGCCGGAUGAGCCCCUCGGGGGCAAGAUUCAUCGUCCUUAGGACGGCCGGCGUCUGACUAGCCAGUUGGUAGUGGAAAUGGCUCACCAAGGCUACCUUCAGUAGCUGGUCAGAGAGGAAGAUCAGCCACAUUGGGAGUGAGACACGGCCCAAACUACUACGGGAGGCAGCAGUGGGGAAUCUUGCGCAAUGGGCGAAAGCCUGACGCAGCCAUGCCGCGUGAAUGAUGAAGGUCUGAGGAUUGUGAAAUUCUUUCACCGGGGACGAUAAUGACGGUACCCGGAGAAGAAGCCCCGGCUAACUUCGUG